Molecule: ribosomal RNA, 628 nt
Filed under: Ilybius dettneri
Lineage: Eukaryota; Metazoa; Arthropoda; Insecta; Coleoptera; Dytiscidae
Description: partial 16S ribosomal RNA
Rfam family: Bacterial large subunit ribosomal RNA
Source: RNAcentral
GUCCUUUUGAAUUUAAUUUAAGGUUUAACCUGCCCACUGAAAUAUUUGAAGGGCCGCAGUAAUUUGACUGUGCAAAGGUAGCAUAAUCAUUAGUUUUUUAAUUAAAAGCUUGUAUGAAGGGUUGGACGAGGUAAAUUCUGUCUCUAUUUAAUUUAUAGUAGAAUUUAAUUUUUAAGUUAAAAAGCUUAAAUUUAAUUAAAAGACGAGAAGACCCUAUAGAUCUUUAUAUUAUUUUUAUUAAUUUUAAUUAAGAUUAUUUAAUUUUUUAAUAAUUAUAGUAUUUUAUUGGGGUAAUAGAAAGAUUUAAUUAAUUCUUUUUUUAUUAUAACAUUAAUAAAUGAAUUUAUGAUCCAAUAUUAUUGAUUAUAAGAUUAAGUUACCUUAGGGAUAACAGCGUAAUAUUUUUAGAGAGUUCAUAUCGAUAAAAAAGUUUGCGACCUCGAUGUUGGAUUAAAAAUUAUUUUAGGUGUAGAAGCUUAAAAUUUUGGUCUGUUCGACCAUUAAAUUUUUACAUGAUCUGAGUUCAGACCGGCGUAAGCCAGGUCGGUUUCUAUCUUUAGUAAAUUUUUAUAUUUUAGUACGAAAGGACCAAAUAUUAGAUAUAAAUAUAUUUAUUGAUUUUGAAUAU